Molecule: long non-coding RNA, 492 nt
Organism: Balaenoptera acutorostrata (minke whale)
Lineage: Eukaryota; Metazoa; Chordata; Mammalia; Artiodactyla; Balaenopteridae
Exons: 3
Source: RefSeq, a predicted model, not a curated record
GCGCCUCGGCCGUGGAAGCGCGCGCUCGGCUUCCCGAAGCGCCCCUUUCCCCUUCGCGAGUAGAGCCUGGGUACAGAGUGUCACCAUCCUUUGCUUGAUUUCAUCAAACAAGCCUUCUGACACGUCUCCCAUCCUCUGACUUUCUCCUGGCUUCAGUCCAUCUUCUCCAGGAUGACCCAGACCUCAAACUUCAGGGCACCUGGAAGGAGUUAAUAAUCCUCUGGAGGAGGACCUUCAAGAUGGCAGAGGAGUAAGACAUGGAGAUCACCUUCCUCCCCACAAAUACAUCAAAAAUACCUCUGCAUGUGGAACAACUCCUACAGAACACCUACUGAACGCUGGCAGAAGACCUCAGACUUCCCAAAAGGCAAGAAACUCCCCACGUACCUGGGUAGGGCAAAAGAAAAAAGGAAAAACAGAGACAAAAGAAUAGGGACAGGACCUGCACCUUGGGGAGGGAGCUGUGAAGGAGGAAAAGUUUUCACACACUAG